UAUACCCAUCACUUUAUAAGCCGGAUCACCACUGCUAGGUCUCAUUUUGUUCGUUUCGUUUGCGACAGACAGCUACAUUCAAAAAAUAAAAUAUGAAAUCGAUAAUCCCACUGUGUCUACUUGCCCUGUCUGUGGCCCAGGACACCCAGGAUGAAGAGGGUGAACAUCUUCCGUACACACAUGGAAUUGGUAGUGCUAGUUUUUAAUGUAAAGCGCGAGUAUUGCCGUCAAGUACAAACCCAGAUAUUGUGUGUCAUAAAAACAUCUCCAGUACUGUAUAAAUGAAAUCUGAGUGGCUUUUUAAUUCGCAUAAUUUGGAAAUUCAGUUUUGAGCGUUGUCUUAUUGUGAACAGUGUUAUGUGUACGAAGUAAAUGCAACGAUUGAUUAUUACCGCGAGACUGAGUCAAACACUACCUCCCACCAUUUUGUCUUCAACGAAAACGGCACCAUGUAUGAAGCUGAUGGCUAUAUCAUAAACGAAGACAGCGACGGUGAACACCUGAAAGUAUUUGGUUUAGUUUAUUCCUGGGACGCAGUACAAAUAUCAUCCCAUUUUGAGGAUUACUACCGCCAGUAUUUUGAAGAUAAGAAGGGAUAUACACCUAAUCUCAAAAGGGAAUGCUCAAUAAUUUUGGGUGAUCAUAUCAGACUUCUUCAAAGUAUUGUCACAAAACUUGUUGGCAGUAAAUAGAUGCAGUUU
This is an RNA transcript of Ostrinia nubilalis (European corn borer), 701 nucleotides long. RefSeq lists it as uncharacterized. The transcript is spliced from 4 exons. The record is from RefSeq and is a predicted model, not a curated record. Lineage: Eukaryota; Metazoa; Arthropoda; Insecta; Lepidoptera; Crambidae.